GGUUCUAUAGUGUAGUGAUUAGCACUCUGGACUUUGAAUCCAACGACACGGGUUCGAAUCCCGAUAGACUCU
This 72-nucleotide transfer RNA is filed under the name Perkinsus olseni. RNAcentral's name for it is "tRNA-Gln". It matches the Rfam family "tRNA". From Rfam's summary of the family: Transfer RNA (tRNA) molecules are approximately 80 nucleotides in length. Their secondary structure includes four short double-helical elements and three loops (D, anti-codon, and T loops). The record is from RNAcentral. Lineage: Eukaryota; Perkinsozoa; Perkinsida; Perkinsidae.